This 55-nucleotide transfer RNA is filed under the name Brentisentis yangtzensis. RNAcentral's name for it is "tRNA-Asp". The record is from RNAcentral. Lineage: Eukaryota; Metazoa; Acanthocephala; Palaeacanthocephala; Echinorhynchida; Leptorhynchoididae.
CUCGAUGUAGUUUAAGUGUGAAUAUAAGCUUGUCUGGCUUAGGGUUUAGUCGGGU